This 205-nucleotide ribosomal RNA is filed under the name Serratia marcescens. Its description in RNAcentral is "partial 23S ribosomal RNA". It matches the Rfam family "Bacterial large subunit ribosomal RNA", at positions 1 to 206 of the family's 2925-position model. Lineage: Bacteria; Pseudomonadati; Pseudomonadota; Gammaproteobacteria; Enterobacterales; Yersiniaceae. The record is from RNAcentral.
GGUUAAGUGAUUAAGCGUACACGGUGGAUGCCUAGGCAGUCAGAGGCGAUGAAGGGCGUGCUAAUCUGCGAAAAGCGUCGGUAAGGUGAUAUGAACCGUUAUAACCGGCGAUACCCGAAUGGGGAAACCCAGUGUGUUUCGACACACUAUCAUGUCAUGAAUACAUAGUGGCAUGAGGCGAACCGGGGGAACUGAAACAUCUAAG